GAACGGGUGAGUAACACGUGGGCAAUCUGCCCUGCACUCUGGGACAAGCCCUGGAAACGGGGUCUAAUACCGGAUACUGACCCUCGCGGGCAUCUGCGAGGUUCGAAAGCUCCGGCGGUGCAGGAUGAGCCCGCGGCCUAUCAGCUUGUUGGUGAGGUAAUGGCUCACCAAGGCGACGACGGGUAGCCGGCCUGAGAGGGCGACCGGCCACACUGGGACUGAGACACGGCCCAGACUCCUACGGGAGGCAGCAGUGGGGAAUAUUGCACAAUGGGCGAAAGCCUGAUGCAGCGACGCCGCGUGAGGGAUGACGGCCUUCGGGUUGUAAACCUCUUUCAGCAGGGAAGAAGCGAAAGUGACGGUACCUGCAGAAGAAGCGCCGGCUAACUACGUGCCAGCAGCCGCGGUAAUACGUAGGGCGCAAGCGUUGUCCGGAAUUAUUGGGCGUAAAGAGCUCGUAGGCGGCUUGUCACGUCGGUUGUGAAAGCCCGGGGCUUAACCCCGGGUCUGCAGUCGAUACGGGCAGGCUAGAGUUCGGUAGGGGAGAUCGGAAUUCCUGGUGUAGCGGUGAAAUGCGCAGAUAUCAGGAGGAACACCGGUGGCGAAGGCGGAUCUCUGGGCCGAUACUGACGCUGAGGAGCGAAAGCGUGGGGAGCGAACAGGAUUAGAUACCCUGGUAGUCCACGCCGUAAACGGUGGGCACUAAGGUGUGGGCAACAUUCCACGUU
RNAcentral lists this ribosomal RNA (728 nucleotides) under Streptomyces sp. utmc1054. RNAcentral describes it as "bacterial SSU rRNA". It matches the Rfam family "Bacterial small subunit ribosomal RNA", at positions 100 to 838 of the family's 1533-position model. The record is from RNAcentral. Lineage: Bacteria; Bacillati; Actinomycetota; Actinomycetes; Kitasatosporales; Streptomycetaceae.